Molecule: ribosomal RNA, 274 nt
Filed under: uncultured bacterium
Lineage: Bacteria
Description: partial 16S ribosomal RNA
Rfam family: Bacterial small subunit ribosomal RNA
Source: RNAcentral
AUACGGAGGGUGCAAGCGUUAAUCGGAAUUACUGGGCGUAAAGCGUACGUAGGCGGUUCGUUAAGUUAGAUGUGAAAGCCCCGGGCUUAACCUGGGAACUGCAUUUAGAACUGGCGAACUAGAGUUGAGUAGAGGGGAGUGGAAUUUCAGGUGUAGCGGUGAAAUGCGUAGAGAUCUGAAGGAACACCAGUGGCGAAGGCGGCUCCCUGGACUCAAACUGACGCCGAGGUACGAAAGCGUGGGUAGCAAACGGGAUUAGAAACCCUAGUAGUCC